UAUGGCGACCGGCGCACGGGUGAGUAACACGUAUCCAACCUGCCGAUGACUCGGGGAUAGCCUUUCGAAAGAAAGAUUAAUACCCGAUGGCAUAGUUCUUCCGCAUGGUGGAACUAUUAAAGAAUUUCGGUCAUCGAUGGGGAUGCGUUCCAUUAGGUUGUUGGCGGGGUAACGGCCCACCAAGCCUUCGAUGGAUAGGGGUUCUGAGAGGAAGGUCCCCCACAUUGGGACUGAGACACGGCCCAGACUCCUACGGGAGGCAGCAUG
This 267-nucleotide ribosomal RNA is filed under the name uncultured bacterium. Its description in RNAcentral is "partial 16S ribosomal RNA". It matches the Rfam family "Bacterial small subunit ribosomal RNA", at positions 87 to 353 of the family's 1533-position model. The record is from RNAcentral.